UACGUAGGGCGCAAGCGUUGUCCGGAUUUACUGGGCGUAAAGAGCGCGCAGGCGGUCGUUCAAGUCGAGUGUGAAAGCCCCCGGCUCAACUGGGGAGGGUCACUCGAUACUGAUCGACUUGAAGGCAGGAGAGGGAAGCGGAAUUCCCGGUGUAGUGGUGAAAUGCGUAGAUAUCGGGAGGAACACCAGUGGCGAAGGCGGCUUCCUGGCCUGUUCUUGACGCUGAGGCGCGAAAGCUAGGGGAGCAAACGGG
This 253-nucleotide ribosomal RNA is filed under the name uncultured bacterium. Its description in RNAcentral is "partial 16S ribosomal RNA". It matches the Rfam family "Bacterial small subunit ribosomal RNA", at positions 524 to 776 of the family's 1533-position model. The record is from RNAcentral.